AUAAGGCCUUUUAGGAGCUCACUGACUUCAGGUUUCAUCGGAACUCCGAAGUUAAGUGAGUUCAGGCGAGAGCAUUCCCAGGAUGGGUGACCCAUUGGAAAGUUCUCGUGUGAGUUCCCAGAAACAAAACCGUGAGGGCAUGGUCGGAGCCCAAAGCGGACAAUAUCGUGGUACGGCGAAGUCGAACCCAAGAUGUGGUGGGGGCCCGGGUCGGGGAUGUGACAAUUUGGUAUCAGAGCCAAUUCCUGGCCGGAUGUGUGCUGACGAGGACGUCGGGCCCCUAAGGGGGGUGGAUUGUGACUUCCUACAUUGUCCAAGGGAGUGGAUCUUGUAAGCCUUAUAUGUAUAUUCCCAUCUCUACCUAGCACGAGGCUUUUUGGGAGCUCACUGGCUUUGGGUUCCAUCGGAACUCCGAAGUUAAGCGAGUUCGGGCGAGAGCAUUCCCAAGAUGAGUGACCCACUGGGAAGUUCUCGUGUGAGUUCCCA
RNAcentral lists this small RNA (486 nucleotides) under Malus domestica (apple). The record is from RNAcentral. Lineage: Eukaryota; Viridiplantae; Streptophyta; Magnoliopsida; Rosales; Rosaceae.